AACGUAGGACGCGAGCGUUAUCCGGAGUUACUGGGCGUAAAGGGCGGGCAGGCGGUUCACAAAGUCUGGCGUGAAAUCUCCCAGGCUCAACCGGGAGGGUGCGUUGGAAACUGGUGAGCUAGAGGGCGGUAGAGGGUCGUGGAAUUCCGGGUGGAGUGGUGAAAUGCGUAGAGAUCCGGAGGAACACCAGAGGCGAAAGCGGCGACCUGGGCCGCACCUGACGCUGAACCGCGAAAGCCAGGGGAGCGAACGGG
This 254-nucleotide ribosomal RNA is filed under the name uncultured bacterium. Its description in RNAcentral is "partial 16S ribosomal RNA". It matches the Rfam family "Bacterial small subunit ribosomal RNA", at positions 524 to 776 of the family's 1533-position model. The record is from RNAcentral.